AUGAACAUCACCCUCCUCACCCGCUGGCUCUGGCGCAUUUCGCAAGGGCGCGGUGGUCUUUGGCUUGACAUUAUCCAGAACAAGUACCUGCGCGGACAGCCCCUCGCCUUUUGUCAAAGAUACGGCGGCUCCCAGUUCUGGCAAUCGGUUGUCCAACUGCUUCCCGUCCUUCGCAUUGGAACCUCCAUCUCGGUUGGAUCGGGUACAGCGAUGCUGUUCUGGUUCGACCGGUGGGUGGGAGACUCCCCCUUUGCGGCCCGUUUCCCCGACCUCUUCUCCAUUGCUGUCGCCCCCUUAAUCUCCGUUGAGAGGGCCCUUAUUGACUUAGGGUGCCUCGCUUUCCGAAGGCCAUUUGGGCCCCCGGAAGCCGCCGCGUGGCUUGAGCUGCUUGAUUGCGUCGCUCUCCACGAGCCUGCGGUGGAUGCGGGCCCGGACGAGGUUCGGUGGCGUCUUGAGCCUUCGUGCCAAUUCUCCACCAAGUCCCUUUACUCGGCCAUUGCCCCCUCCCCGCUCCUCCCCCUCCCUGCGGUUUGGUCCAUCCGCUUGCCAUUGAAAAUUCGGAUAUUCAUGUGGCAAUGGAUCCGCGAUAGGAUUCCGUCUGGGGUGGAGGUCCGCAAACGCAAUGGCCCUGGGUCCGGCCUCUGCCCCCUGUGUGGUACCCCCGAAGAUUCGAAUCACAUCUUUUUCUCCCGUGUCUCAGCUCAGUUCAUGUGGAGCUGCUUUAGGGAGGCUGUGGGAGGCGAUUGGUGUCACACCAACUUCCCCGACCUCUUCGCCGAACUCCAGAACUCCCCUCCUCCCUCUCGCCACAUUAGGUGGCUCGAGAUCGGGGUUCUAGCGUGGACUCUUUGGACUAUUCGCAAUAAGCUUGGGAUCCAGCGUAUUCCUCUUCGACGGGCUACUGACGCUCUCUUCAAACUGUCUGGUUACUUGCAGCUUUGGCGGCCGCUUAGCCGCCCUCAGGACCGCGACGCUAUCACUGCCUUCAUCGCCGACCUUCACUCGAUGGCCGUCCGUCUGUCACCGCCGCCCCCUCCGCCACCCCCGAAGCCGGAUUAG
This 1059-nucleotide ribosomal RNA is filed under the name Triticum aestivum (bread wheat). RNAcentral's name for it is "partial small subunit ribosomal RNA". The record is from RNAcentral. Lineage: Eukaryota; Viridiplantae; Streptophyta; Magnoliopsida; Poales; Poaceae.